CUCGCGGCUAGGAUUGGGGGAGACCGGCGAGAUCGGUUUCUUUUCUUAGGUUAGGGGUUGGAGGAAGGGUAGGGGACGCGAGCCUGCUUCCAUCUGGCGCUGGACGCUUGUCCCUGCCCCGCGUUGCCUUUUAAAUUUUAGCUCAUUCCGAGACACCUGCCGUCAGACAUUUAUGCAGUGUGUGAUUCUUUCUAAAACAACUCCCUGGAAGAGAGGACAUUUAAUUCAACAAUUUAUUGGCCACCUACUGUGCACCAGGCAGUAAACUUGGAACUGGGGCUACUGGGUUACAGCAGUGACCAAGACAGAGGUCCCUGUUCUUAAGGAGCAAGUGAGGGCAACAGAAAAGAGCAGUCAGCUGUCAUGCGAGGGCACUCAAGCAGCCCUGUGGAAAGCUCUACGUGGUGAGAAACUGAAGCCUCCUGCCAACACCAACAAGGAACUGAGACCUACUUCCAACAGCCAUCUGAGUGAUCCAUCCUGGAAUCAGAUCCUCCAGCCCCAGUCAAGUCUUCAGAUGACUGCAGCCCUGACCAGCAUCUCAACUGCAACCUCGUGAAUGACCCUGAGCCAGAACCAUGCAACUGAACUCUGCCUGGAUUCAUGACCCACAGAAACUGUGAGAUGGUAGCUGUUUGCUUUGUUAAGCCUCUAAGUCUGGAAAGAAUGUCUUAAGCAGUAGCAGACAAUGAACAAAAGAUUAUUAUUUAGCUGUUGAAUUGGAAGAGGAGGGGAAGAAAAAAUUUUCAGAUCACAGAAUAUUCAUCGUGUAAAACUUCAAAAAUUCUGAAAUUUAAGGAAAAAAUAUCAUUUGUUGGGAAUUUGUUGGGAUUCAUUGUCUCAGUGCCAAGAGACACCCACUCUUUUUUUUUUUUUUUUUGAGACAGAGUCCUGCUCUGUUGCCCAGGCUGAAGGGCAGUGGCACGAUCUCAGCUCACCACAACCUCUGCCUCCCAGGUUCAAGUGAUUCUCCUCCCUAAGCCUCCCAAGUGGCUGGGACUACAGGCAUGCAUCACCAUGCCCGGCUAAUUUUUGUACUUUUAGUAGAGACGGGGUUUCACUAUGUUGGCCAGGCUGAUCUCAAACUCUUGACCCCGUGAUCCGCCCGCCUCAGCCUCCCAAAGUGCCGGGAUUACAGGCAUGAGCCACUGCGCCCGGCCGAGACACUCACUCUUAACAUUUUGGUAUAUUUUUUCUCUCUGCGCAUUUUUUAUCCAGCUGACUUUAUUUUGUCUCCUGAAAUCUUCAUUUUUAAAUUAUAGCUUCAGCAUUUAAGAAAAUGUGUCUAACAAAGUCUUCGCAAGCAUACAUUUUUCCCAUAGUUAUUAUACUUAGAAUUUAUUUGUCAAGCAAUUUUGAAGGGCUUUCACUGUGAAAAACUUUAGGGCUUAUUGAUAUUCUCUUUAAGUAGAAGUAUGUUUUUUAUUAUUACAAAAGUUAUAUAUAUA
Pan troglodytes (chimpanzee) is the source of this 1448-nucleotide long non-coding RNA. RefSeq lists it as uncharacterized. The record is from RefSeq and is a predicted model, not a curated record. Lineage: Eukaryota; Metazoa; Chordata; Mammalia; Primates; Hominidae. The transcript has 3 exons.